This 458-nucleotide ribosomal RNA is filed under the name uncultured bacterium. RNAcentral describes it as "SSU rRNA". It matches the Rfam family "Bacterial small subunit ribosomal RNA", at positions 26 to 523 of the family's 1533-position model. The record is from RNAcentral.
AGGACAAACGCUGGCGGCGUGCAUAACACAUGCAAGUCGAACGAGUGCCGCAAGGCACGAGUGGCGGACGGGUGAGGAACACGUGGAUAACCGACCAUGUACUGGGGAAUACCCGUGGGAAACCACGGCUAAUACCGCAUACGUUCAGAGAUGAAGAAAGCCUCCGGGCGGUAGAUGACGGGUCUGCGGUCGAUUAGCUAGUUGGUGCGGUAACGGCGCACCAAGGCGACGAUCGAUAGCUGGUCUGAGAGGAUGAUCAGCCACAUUGGGAUUGAGAACGGCCCAAAUCCCUACGGGGAGCAGCAGUGAGGAAUAUUCGGCAAUGGGCGCAAGCCUGACCGAGCGACGCCGCGUGGGGGAUGACGCAUCUCGGUGUGUAAACCCCUUUUCUGCGUGACGAGAAUGGACGGUAGCGCAGGAAUCAGUCUCGGCUAACUACGCGCCAGCAGCCGCGGUAA